UACGAAGGGGGCUAGCGUUGCUCGGAAUCACUGGGCGUAAAGCGCACGUAGGCGGCUUUUUAAGUCGGUGGUGAAAUCCUGGAGCUCAACUCCAGAACUGCCUUUGAUACUGGCGAGCUUGAGUUCGGGAGAGGUGAGUGGAACUGCGAGUGUAGAGGUGAAAUUCGUAGAUAUUCGCAAGAACACCAGUGGCGAAGGCGGCUCACUGGCCCGAUACUGACGCUGAGGUGCGAAAGCGUGGGGAGCAAACAGG
This 253-nucleotide ribosomal RNA is filed under the name uncultured bacterium. RNAcentral describes it as "partial 16S ribosomal RNA". It matches the Rfam family "Bacterial small subunit ribosomal RNA", at positions 524 to 776 of the family's 1533-position model. The record is from RNAcentral.